UAAGUACUCCCUCCGUCCGAAAAUACUUGUCAUCAAAAUGAAUAAAAGGGGAUGUAUCUAGUCCUAGAUACAUCCCCUUUUAUUCAUUUUGAUGACAAGUAUUUUCGGACGGAGGGAGUACCAA
This is a non-coding RNA of Triticum aestivum (bread wheat), 124 nucleotides long. NCBI's taxonomy places the organism in Eukaryota, Viridiplantae, Streptophyta, Magnoliopsida, Poales, Poaceae. The record is from Rfam.